This 193-nucleotide unclassified non-coding RNA is filed under the name Basidiomycota sp. RNAcentral describes it as "partial contains small subunit ribosomal RNA, internal transcribed spacer 1, and 5.8S ribosomal RNA". The stretch from base 1 to 47 matches the Rfam family "Eukaryotic small subunit ribosomal RNA", at positions 1785 to 1831 of the family's 1831-position model. Lineage: Eukaryota; Fungi; Basidiomycota. The record is from RNAcentral.
AAAGUCGUAACAAGGUUUCCGUAGGUGAACCUGCGGAAGGAUCAUUACAAAUCGUGCCUUUAACCCUGUGGGAAUGUCGCGGCGUCCGGUGACGCGAGUCACCGGGCGUUGCACCACGUCAAACGAUGUCGAUUGUCAGAGGUACGUGUCGCGUAACAGCAAACAACUUUUAACAAUGGAUCUCUUGGCUCUU